UACGUAGGGUGCGAGCGUUUGUCCGGAAUUAUUGGGCGUAAAGGGCUCGUAGGCGGUUUGUCGCGUCGGGAGUGAAAACCAGGUGCUUAACACCUGGCUUGCUUUCGAUACGGGCAGACUAGAGGUAUGCAGGGAGAACGGAAUUCCGUGGUGUAAGCGGUGAAAUGCGGCAGAUAUCAGGAGGAACACCGGUGGCGAAGGCGGUUCUCUGGGCAUGACCUGACGCUGAGGAGCGAAAGUGUGGGAGGCGAACAGG
Molecule: ribosomal RNA, 256 nt
Filed under: uncultured bacterium
Lineage: Bacteria
Description: partial 16S ribosomal RNA
Rfam family: Bacterial small subunit ribosomal RNA
Source: RNAcentral